This 67-nucleotide transfer RNA is filed under the name Iridona iridescens. RNAcentral describes it as "Moerella iridescens tRNA-Asp". Lineage: Eukaryota; Metazoa; Mollusca; Bivalvia; Cardiida; Tellinidae. The record is from RNAcentral.
GAGAAGGUAGUUUAAUAAAAAAUAAGAGGUUGUCAGCCUUUAGUUACCAUCAAUUUGGUUCUUCUCU